This 301-nucleotide ribosomal RNA is filed under the name uncultured bacterium. RNAcentral describes it as "partial 16S ribosomal RNA". It matches the Rfam family "Bacterial small subunit ribosomal RNA", at positions 509 to 807 of the family's 1533-position model. The record is from RNAcentral.
CAGCAGCCGCGGUAAUACGAAGGGUGCAAGCGUUACUCGGACUUACUGGGCGUAAAGCGUGCGUAGGUGGUGGUUUAAGUCCGUUGUGAAAGCCCUGGGCUCAACCUGGGAAUUGCAGUGGAUACUGGAUCACUAGAGUGUGGUAGAGGAUAGUGGAAUUUCCGGUGUAGCAGUGAAAUGCGUAGAGAUCGGAAGGAACAUCUGUGGCGAAGGCGACUAUCUGGGCCAACACUGACACUGAGGCACGAAAGCGUGGGGAGCAAACAGGAUUAGAUACCCCGGUAGUCCCUGUCUCUUAUAC